RNAcentral lists this ribosomal RNA (247 nucleotides) under uncultured bacterium. Its description in RNAcentral is "partial 16S ribosomal RNA". It matches the Rfam family "Bacterial small subunit ribosomal RNA", at positions 523 to 769 of the family's 1533-position model. The record is from RNAcentral.
AGACGUAGGGGGCAAGCGUUGUCCGGAAUUACUGGGCGUAAAGGGUGCGUAGGCGGCAUUACAAGUCUAAUGUGAAAUCCCCGUGCUUAACAUGGGGUUUGCAAUAGAAACUGUAAAGCUAGAGUGCAGGAGAGGUAAGUGGAAUUCCUAGUGUAGCGGUGAAAUGCAUAGAUAUUAGGAGGAACACCAGUGGCGAAGGCGGCUUUCUGGACUGUAACUGACGCUGAUGCACGAAAGCGUGGGGAGC